Molecule: non-coding RNA, 47 nt
Filed under: Podarcis lilfordi (Lilford's wall lizard)
Lineage: Eukaryota; Metazoa; Chordata; Lepidosauria; Squamata; Lacertidae
Rfam family: Histone 3' UTR stem-loop
About the family: The mRNAs of metazoan histone genes lack a poly-A tail.
Source: RNAcentral
CCAAAGGCUCUUUUCAGAGCCACUACACCGCAUCCCGAGAAGAGCUU